UACAGAGGGUGCGAGCGUUAAUCGGAGUUACUGGGCGUAAAGGGCGCGUAGGCGGAGAUAUGAGUGUGAUGUGAAAGCCCUGGGCUUAACCUGGGAAGUGCAUCGCAAACGAUAUUUCUGGAGUACAAGAGAGGGUGGCGGAAUUUCCGGUGUAGCGGUGAAAUGCGUAGAGAUCGGAAGGAACGUCGAUGGCGAAGGCAGCCACCUGGCUUGAUACUGACGCUGAGGCGCGAAAGCGUGGGGAGCGAACAGG
Molecule: unclassified non-coding RNA, 253 nt
Filed under: uncultured Gammaproteobacteria bacterium
Lineage: Bacteria; Pseudomonadati; Pseudomonadota; Gammaproteobacteria
Description: contains 16S-23S intergenic spacer region
Rfam family: Bacterial small subunit ribosomal RNA
Source: RNAcentral